GUUCACCGAUGCGGUGGGCUCGGCUGGCUUUGGAGCCAUUCUGGGUGCCAAAUGGUGCGCUGACUCUUGGACAGAGGCCUGGCAGGGGACGGGGCCCACUCGAAACUUGGAGUUUAUGGAGCUCUUCCCUAUCUUGGUGGCUUUGGAAGUGUGGGGCUCCAUGAUGUUGGAUAGACGGGUGGUCUUCCAUUGUGACAACUUAGGAGUGGUGCAGGCAAUCAACCAGCU
Non-coding RNA from Pelobates cultripes (western spadefoot toad), 228 nucleotides. The record is from the annotation of a GenBank genome assembly. Lineage: Eukaryota; Metazoa; Chordata; Amphibia; Anura; Pelobatidae.